UUUGAAAAAUUAUCUUAAUUCUUUAGCGGAUACUAGAAUCCACAAAGACUAUAUAUAGGCCCGAGGAUGGCUCGGUAAACCCAUAUGUACCUAUGGGUAGGUUCUCGAUUAAUUAUUUCUCCAAACAACUUCUAGUAUUAAUUUAGUCCCAGAUUUUAUUUCAGUAGGCGAUGGGCCUCUACUGAAAGUUUCGAUUAGGUCAAACCAUUAACAUGAACCUACUUAGUGAUUCUACCUAAUGAGUGAUC
This 248-nucleotide long non-coding RNA is filed under the name Elaeis guineensis (African oil palm). RNAcentral describes it as "long non-coding RNA (EGUI_LNC004735)". Lineage: Eukaryota; Viridiplantae; Streptophyta; Magnoliopsida; Arecales; Arecaceae. The record is from RNAcentral.